AGAACGAACGCUGGCGGCAGGCCUCAAACAUGCAAGUCUAGGGGGCGUAGCAAUACGUCACCGGCGGACGGGUGCGUAACACGUGGGAAUGUACUUACUGGUUCGGAACAACUCAGGGAAACUUGAGCUAAUACCGAAUGUGCCCGAAAGGGGAAAGAUUUAUCGCCAGUAAAUCAGCCCGCGUCCGAUUAGCUAGUUGGCGGGGUAAAGGCCCACCAAGGCGACGAUCGGUAGCUGUUCUGAGAGGAAGAUCAGCCACACUGGGACUGAGACACGGCCCAGACUCCUACGGGAGGCAGCAGUUGGGAAUCUUGGACAAUGGGGAAACCCUGAUCCAGCCAUGCCGCGUGAGUGAUGAAGGCCUUCGGGUUGUAAACUCUUUCGACGGGGACGAUAAUGACGGUACCCGUAGAAGAAGCUCCGGCUAACUUCGUGCCAGCAGCCGC
This 446-nucleotide ribosomal RNA is filed under the name uncultured bacterium. Its description in RNAcentral is "SSU rRNA". It matches the Rfam family "Bacterial small subunit ribosomal RNA", at positions 26 to 518 of the family's 1533-position model. The record is from RNAcentral.